RNAcentral lists this long non-coding RNA (875 nucleotides) under Homo sapiens (human). RNAcentral describes it as "non-protein coding lnc-CECR2-9:1". Lineage: Eukaryota; Metazoa; Chordata; Mammalia; Primates; Hominidae. The record is from RNAcentral.
AUUCCUCCCUGAAGCCAAACUUCCGGCAGCAGCUGCAGCUGCUCUCUCCCCUCCCAUGCCUGCCUCCCCAGCACAGUCCCCUGCCGCAGCCCCUGCCCCACCAAUGGCAAAUGAGGAACAUGUGUAUAGAGCCCUGGGCUCUCCCUCCUCCUGAGGCCAUUUCCAACAAAACACUUGUGCUUUCUGAAAGUAAGAUGUGGAGCUCUGGAGUCCCCAAGGAAAACGGGUUUAUGGCAUCCGCCAGCCCUGGAGCCAGUGAGUGUCUGGCCCCUUGGCCCAGAGCCCCACUGCCAGGCACAGGCAAACUGGGAGGAAGGGGUUAAUCUGAGCAGAGGAGGCCAGGAGGGGCCCAGUUCCAUUCCCGACUGCAGGGGAUGCUCAUCCCCGGGAUGGAGGUCAGCAGGAAGCAGCUCAAAGAGGCCAGGAGGCCAAGGCCCAGUUUAAACACUGAAUGAAGGCCACCUUUUCAGUAGCAUGCACAUGUGUGCAUGCACACACACGUACACACUCAUACACACAUGUUACCAUGCACAUAGUAUCCUCUUAUUAACAACGUUAAGGUUGUCACGACAGACUCUGGGUUUGGUGUCGGAAGCCCUGCAUCAGGGCUGUUUAAUAAGUCCCCAGCGCCAAUGGUAGGCACUAUGGAGGCCCAAACUGUUGGGGAGGGGAACCUCAGAGUGCCUUCUCCCAGGGAGGGGUGUGUGUGCCAGGAGCUGGGUGAUGGAGCUCCUCCAGAGCUUUUCUUGGAAGUUCAGAGUUUAACUCUGGGUUAGUAGGGCUCACCUUAGUUCUGAGGCAUGUAGGUGAAGACACUGCAAUUAGGAAGGUGAUGGGGCAGGGGACUAGCCUGUCUUCACCCCCAGGCUUAUGUC